Molecule: ribosomal RNA, 505 nt
Filed under: uncultured bacterium
Lineage: Bacteria
Description: partial 16S ribosomal RNA
Rfam family: Bacterial small subunit ribosomal RNA
Source: RNAcentral
GACGAACGCUGGCGGCGUGCCUAAUACAUGCAAGUAGAACGCACAGUUUAUACCGUAUCUUGCUACACCAUAGACUGUGAGUUGCGAACGGGUGAGUAACGCGUAGGUAACCUGCCUGGUAGCGGGGGAUAACUAUUUGAAACGAUAGCUAAUACCGCAUAAUAUUAAUUAUUGCAGGAUAAUUAAUUGAAAGGUGCAAUUGCACCACUACCAGAUGUACCUGCGUUGUAUUAGCUAGUAGGGGAGGUAACGGCUCACCUAGGCGAUGAUACAUAGCCGACCUGAGAGGGUGAUCGGCCACACUGGGACUGAGACACGGCCCAGACUCCUACGGGAGGCAGCAGUAGGGAAUCUUCGGCAAUGGACGAAAGUCUGACCGAGCAACGCCGCGUGAGUGAAGAAGGGUUUCGGAUCGUAAAGCUCUGUUGUAAGAGAAGAACGGGGGUGAGAGUGGAAAGUUCACAAUGUGACGGUAUCUUAACAGAAAGGGACGGCUAACUACGUG